This 468-nucleotide ribosomal RNA is filed under the name uncultured bacterium. RNAcentral describes it as "partial 16S ribosomal RNA". It matches the Rfam family "Bacterial small subunit ribosomal RNA", at positions 28 to 507 of the family's 1533-position model. The record is from RNAcentral.
GACGAACGCUGGCGGCGUGCUUAACACAUGCAAGUCGAACGGAAAGGCCCUGCUUUUGUGGGGUGCUCGAGUGGGGAAGGCGUGAGUAACACGCGAGUAACCUGCCCUUGAAUUUGGGAUAACUUCAGGAAACUGGGGCUAAUAUCGGAUAGGAGCUCCUGCUGCAUGGGGGGGGUUGGAAAGUUUCGGCGGUUGGGGCUGGACUCGCGGCUUAUGAGCUUGUUUGUGGGGUAGUGGCUUACCAAGCCUUUGAACGGUACGCCGCCUGAGAGGGUGACCGGCCACAUUGCGACUGAGGUACGGCCCAGACUCCUACGGGAGGCAGCAGUGGGGAGUAUUGCACAAUGGGCGGAAGCGUGAUGCGGCAGCGCCGCGUGCGGGAUGACGGCCUUCGGGGUAUGAACCGCUUUCGCCUGUGACGAAGCGUGAGUGACGGUAAUGGGUAAAGAAGCACCGGCUAACUACGUG